RNAcentral lists this non-coding RNA (23 nucleotides) under Arabidopsis thaliana (thale cress). The record is from RNAcentral. Lineage: Eukaryota; Viridiplantae; Streptophyta; Magnoliopsida; Brassicales; Brassicaceae.
AUACAAAUGGUCAAGCCUCUGAC